AUGCCUCGUCUGAAUGACCUCAGUGUACUGCAGGUUCUUGACCUCGAAGGCUGUCAAGGUCCAUUGUGCCUUGAUGGUCUCUACAAAUUGCUGCUUUUGAGGUACUUGAACCUCAAGGGAACAAAUGUUAGCGAGCUCCCAGAACAGAUUGGACAGCUAAGAUGCCUGGAGACACUGGACGUGAGAUCCACAAAGGUGAAAGAGCUACCUCCUAGCAUUGUCAAGCCGGAAAAGUCAAUGUAUUUACUCGCUGGGAACGCCAAGUUGCCGAGUGGGAUAACCAAGAUGAAUUCAUUGUUGACACUUUCGUGCAGCAAUAUCGGGAAGAGCGCUGAGGCGAACAUCAUUCAAGAGCUCAGUGAAAUGGUAAGCUUGAGCGAACUGGAAAUAUUUUGUAAUGUUACUCAGACGUCUGGGGAUAAGAAUCAAUUCGCAUUUUCGAGCAAUGGAUUUCGUAGUAUUAAGAAGCUUUUGAUAAGGUUCAGCUUGCCAUCAGUGACCUUUGUAACCAGCGGUUUAUCGAAGGUUGAAGUGCUUGAGCUAAAGUUUGAAGAAGGCCUUUCAGAGGAGUCGAGUGGUGUGUCUGGCAAAGAGCAUCUGUCUGGCCUGAAGCAUAUGAUCGUCGAGUUUUCACAGCAUUAUGUGGGUACUGCAGCAAAAUAA
Molecule: ribosomal RNA, 663 nt
Filed under: Triticum aestivum (bread wheat)
Lineage: Eukaryota; Viridiplantae; Streptophyta; Magnoliopsida; Poales; Poaceae
Description: partial small subunit ribosomal RNA
Source: RNAcentral